Molecule: ribosomal RNA, 1427 nt
Filed under: uncultured organism
Description: SSU rRNA
Rfam family: Bacterial small subunit ribosomal RNA
Source: RNAcentral
GGCGUGGAUAAGACAUGCAAGUCGAACGAGAGAAUUGCUAGCUUGCUAAUAAUUCUCUAGUGGCGCACGGGUGAGUAACACGUGAGUAACCUGCCCCCGAGAGCGGGAUAGCCCUGGGAAACUGGGAUUAAUACCGCAUAGUAUCGAAAGAUUAAAGCAGCAAUGCGCUUGGGGAUGGGCUCGCGGCCUAUUAGUUAGUUGGUGAGGUAACGGCUCACCAAGGCGAUGACGGGUAGCCGGUCUGAGAGGAUGUCCGGCCACACUGGAACUGAGACACGGUCCAGACACCUACGGGUGGCAGCAGUCGAGAAUCAUUCACAAUGGGGGAAACCCUGAUGGUGCGACGCCGCGUGGGGGAAUGAAGGUCUUCGGAUUGUAAACCCCUGUCAUGUGGGAGCAAAUUAAAAAGAUAGUACCACAAGAGGAAGAGACGGCUAACUCUGUGCCAGCAGCCGCGGUAAUACAGAGGUCUCAAGCGUUGUUCGGAAUCACUGGGCGUAAAGCGUGCGUAGGCUGUUUCGUAAGUCGUGUGUGAAAGGCGCGGGCUCAACCCGCGGACGGCACAUGAUACUGCGAGACUAGAGUAAUGGAGGGGGAACCGGAAUUCUCGGUGUAGCAGUGAAAUGCGUAGAUAUCGAGAGGAACACUCGUGGCGAAGGCGGGUUCCUGGACAUUAACUGACGCUGAGGCACGAAGGCCAGGGGAGCGAAAGGGAUUAGAUACCCCUGUAGUCCUGGCAGUAAACGGUGCACGCUUGGUGUGCGGGGAAUCGACCCCCUGCGUGCCGGAGCUAACGCGUUAAGCGUGCCGCCUGGGGAGUACGGUCGCAAGAUUAAAACUCAAAGAAAUUGACGGGGACCCGCACAAGCGGUGGAGUAUGUGGCUUAAUUCGAUGCAACGCGAAGAACCUUACCUGGGCUUGACAUGUAAUGAACAACAUGUGAAAGCAUGCGACUCUUCGGAGGCGUUACACAGGUGCUGCAUGGCCGUCGUCAGCUCGUGUCGUGAGAUGUUUGGUUAAGUCCAGCAACGAGCGCAACCCCUGUUGCCAGUUACCAGCACGUGAAGGUGGGGACUCUGGCGAGACUGCCCAGAUCAACUGGGAGGAAGGUGGGGACGACGUCAGGUCAGUAUGGCCCUUAUGCCCAGGGCUGCACACGUACUACAAUGCCCAGUACAGAGGGGGCCGAAGCCGCGAGGCGGAGGAAAUCCUGAAAACUGGGCCCAGUUCGGACUGUAGGCUGCAACCCGCCUACACGAAGCCGGAAUCGCUAGUAAUGGCGCAUCAGCUACGGCGCCGUGAAUACGUUCCCGGGUCUUGUACACACCGCCCGUCACAUCAUGGAAGCCGGUCGCACCCGAAGUAUCUGAAGCCAACCGCAAGGAGGCAGGGUCCUAAGGUGAGACUGGUAACUGGGAUGAAGUCG